Molecule: ribosomal RNA, 917 nt
Filed under: Capnodiales sp. M-Camp7
Lineage: Eukaryota; Fungi; Ascomycota; Dothideomycetes; Capnodiales
Description: eukaryotic LSU rRNA
Rfam family: Eukaryotic large subunit ribosomal RNA
Source: RNAcentral
UUGACCUCGGAUCAGGUGGGGAUACCCGCUGAACUUAAGCAUAUCAAUAAGCGGAGGAAAAGAAACCAACCGGGAUUGCCCUAGUAACGGCGAGUGAAGCGGCAACAGCUCAAAUUUGAAAUCUGGCGCCUUCGGCGUCCGAGUUGUACUUUGUAGAGGAUGCUUUUGGGCAGCCGCCGGUCUAAGUUCCUUGGAACAGGACGUCAUAGAGGGUGAGAAUCCCGUAUGCGACCGGAGGGGCACCCGUCACGAAGCUCCUUCGACGAGUCGAGUUGUUUGGGAAUGCAGCUCUAAAUGGGUGGUAAAUUUCAUCUAAAGCUAAAUACCGGCCAGAGACCGAUAGCGCACAAGUAGAGUGAUCGAAAGAUGAAAAGCACUUUGGAAAGAGAGUUAAAAAGCACGUGAAAUUGUUGAAAGGGAAGCGCUUGCUACCAGACUCGUGGGCGGUGUUCCGCCGGUCUUCUGACCGGUCCACUCACCGUCUACGGGCCAGCAUCACUUGGGACCGCCGGAGAAAAGCGGGGGGAAUGUGGCUCCCUCGGGAGUGUUAUAGCCCCCCGCGUAAUACGGCGCGCCCCGAGUGAGGUCCGCGCUUCGGCUAGGAUGCUGGCGUAAUGGUCGUAAGCGGCCCGUCUUGAAACACGGACCAAGGAGUCUAACAUCUAUGCGAGUGUUCGGGUGUCAAACCCCUGCGCGGAAUGAAAGUGAACGGAGGUGGGAGCCGCAAGGUGCACCAUCGACCGAUCCUGAUGUCUUCGGAUGGAUUUGAGUAAGAGCAUAGCUGUUGGGACCCGAAAGAUGGUGAACUAUGCCUGAAUAGGGUGAAGCCAGAGGAAACUCUGGUGGAGGCUCGCAGCGGUUCUGACGUGCAAAUCGAUCGUCAAAUUUGGGUAUAGGGGCGAAAGACUAAUCGAACC